Molecule: non-coding RNA, 320 nt
Organism: Pelobates cultripes (western spadefoot toad)
Lineage: Eukaryota; Metazoa; Chordata; Amphibia; Anura; Pelobatidae
Source: the annotation of a GenBank genome assembly
GGAAAGCAUAUUGUGCAGUGUGUGUGAGGGUGUUGUGUGUGUAUGUGAGGGGUGCAGUGUGUGUGAGGUGUGUAGUGUGUUAGUGAUGGGUGCUGUGUUUGCGUGAGGGUGCUAUGUGGGUAAGGGUGCUGUGUGUGUGUUCUGUGUGUGAUUGGGUGCUGUGUUUGCGUGAGGGUGCCAUGUGCGUUUGAGGAAGCUGUGUGUGUCAGUGGUGCAGUGUGUGUGUGUGUGUUGGUGUUGUAAGUGUUAAGGGUGCAGUGAGUGUGUGCUGUGCGUGUCAGAGGUGCAGUGAGUGUGUGCUGUGCGUGUCAGGGGUGCAG